UUAGGAAUCUUCCACAAUGGGCGAAAGCCUGAUGGAGCGACGCCGCGUGAGGGAUGAAGGCCUUAGGGUUGUAAACCUCUAAAAGAGGGACGAUAAUGACGGUACCUCUUGAAUAGCACCGGCUAACUCCGUGCCAGCAGCCGCGGUAUUACGGAGGGUGAAAGCGUUAUCCGGAAUCACUGGGCGUAAAGGGCGCGUAGGCGGUCUGUUAAGUCCGAUGUUAAAUCCCGGGGCUCAACCCCGGAUAAGCGUUGGAUACUGGCAGGCUAGACGGUUGGAGAGGCGAGUGGAAUUACCAGUGUAGCGGUGGAAUGCGUAGAUACUGGUAGGAACACCCAUUGCGAAGGCAGCUCGCUGGACAACACGUGACGCUGAGGCGCGAAAGUGUGGGGAGCAAACC
Molecule: ribosomal RNA, 400 nt
Filed under: uncultured bacterium
Lineage: Bacteria
Description: bacterial SSU rRNA
Rfam family: Bacterial small subunit ribosomal RNA
Source: RNAcentral